GGCCUCGUGGCGCAGUGGUAGAGCGUCUGACUCCAGAUCAGAAGGUUGUGUGUUCAAAUCACGUCGGGGUCA
This 72-nucleotide transfer RNA is filed under the name Bos taurus (domestic cattle). It matches the Rfam family "tRNA". Rfam says of the family: Transfer RNA (tRNA) molecules are approximately 80 nucleotides in length. Their secondary structure includes four short double-helical elements and three loops (D, anti-codon, and T loops). Lineage: Eukaryota; Metazoa; Chordata; Mammalia; Artiodactyla; Bovidae. The record is from Rfam by way of RNAcentral. RNAcentral also lists the same sequence under 1 other name.